UUGGAGAAAGUUUGAUCCUGGCUCAGGAUUGAACGCUGGCGGCAGGCCUAACACAUGCAAGUCGAGCGGUAGAAAGUAGCUUGCUACUUUUGAGAGCGGCGGACGGGUGAGUAACGCGUGGGAAUCUACCUGGUAGUGGGGGACAACUUGGGGAAACUCAAGCUAAUACCGCAUACGCCCUACGGGGGAAAGGAGGGGCUCUUCGGACCUUUCGCUAUCAGAUGAGCCUGCGUAGGAUUAGCUAGUUGGUAGGGUAAAGGCCUACCAAGGCGACGAUCCUUAGCUGGUCUGAGAGGAUGAUCAGCCACACUGGGACUGAGACACGGCCCAGACUCCUACGGGAGGCAGCAGUGGGGAAUAUUGGACAAUGGGGGCAACCCUGAUCCAGCCAUGCCGCGUGUGUGAAGAAGGCCUUCGGGUUGUAAAGCACUUUCAGUGGUGAGGAAGGGUAGCAGUUAAUACCUGUCUACACAU
This 474-nucleotide ribosomal RNA is filed under the name Nitrincola sp. sh36BAB1879. RNAcentral describes it as "bacterial SSU rRNA". It matches the Rfam family "Bacterial small subunit ribosomal RNA", at positions 1 to 475 of the family's 1533-position model. The record is from RNAcentral. Lineage: Bacteria; Pseudomonadati; Pseudomonadota; Gammaproteobacteria; Oceanospirillales; Oceanospirillaceae.